CGCGCAGGCGGUUUUAUUAGUCAGAUGUGAAAGCCCACGGCUCAACCGUGGAAGUGCAUUUGAAACUGUAAGACUUGAGUACCAGAGGGGGAAGUGGAAUUCCCGGUGUAGAGGUGAAAUUCGUAGAUAUCGGGAGGAAUACCAGUGGCGAAGGCGACUUUCUGGCUGGAUACUGACGCUGAGGCGCGAAAGCGUGGGGAGCAAACA
Molecule: ribosomal RNA, 207 nt
Filed under: uncultured bacterium
Lineage: Bacteria
Description: partial 16S ribosomal RNA
Rfam family: Bacterial small subunit ribosomal RNA
Source: RNAcentral